UGGGGCACAGUCUCACGCUGUUCCAGCUGUCUGAGUCAGUCCUACAUCCAAGCCCACAAAGGAGAGAAGAGAGCUGGAUUUGUACAUCUCAGGUCUUAAGGGGAGCCAAGGGGCCAUGCCCCAGGGGAAUGUACUUCAAGGUCAUAGGCAGGUGUUCAAGAGGCCAAUGUAAUACGAGGAUUAUAAGAAAUGGAAAAAGUGAAAUGUGCCGCAGAGUUUUGGAUGGACUUUUAGCAUGUGAUGGAUGAAUGGAGAUGGGGAGCCAAGGAGCUCUUAAGUGAAAACUGGAACCUCAGCCAGGAUCUUGGAAAGCCAAUAAGUGAAAACAUCAGCACGUUUUGAAAAGAUUAAAACAAAUCACAGUGUAAAGAUAACUGUGGUGAUAAGAUUUCACUGAUAGCCAGUGAGAACAUGGGUCAGACAUGUUCUGAAUGCCCAAAUGAAGAGCAAGAAGGGGAAUAUUUGGAAAUGCAUUAUUGUGCAUUUGCUAUAACACUGUAAUUUUGUCAUUAAUAGAAACCUCACUGUUUAUCUCCUAAGGAUCAUGAUUUCCUUUUCUUAUCUACUGUAUUGAAGUAAAAUCUUUAAAAUGUAAA
Long non-coding RNA from Peromyscus leucopus (white-footed mouse), 596 nucleotides. RefSeq lists it as uncharacterized. NCBI's taxonomy places the organism in Eukaryota, Metazoa, Chordata, Mammalia, Rodentia, Cricetidae. The record is from RefSeq and is a predicted model, not a curated record. The transcript is spliced from 2 exons.